UGCAGUUUUUCUUUGGUUGCC
This 21-nucleotide non-coding RNA is filed under the name Caenorhabditis elegans. The record is from RNAcentral. Lineage: Eukaryota; Metazoa; Nematoda; Chromadorea; Rhabditida; Rhabditidae.